Molecule: transfer RNA, 63 nt
Filed under: Ovis aries (sheep)
Lineage: Eukaryota; Metazoa; Chordata; Mammalia; Artiodactyla; Bovidae
Rfam family: tRNA
About the family: Transfer RNA (tRNA) molecules are approximately 80 nucleotides in length. Their secondary structure includes four short double-helical elements and three loops (D, anti-codon, and T loops).
Source: Rfam by way of RNAcentral
GAGUAGCUCAGUUGGUAAAGAAUCUGCCUGCAAUGCAGGAUACCCAGGUUUGAGUCCUGGUUC